Caenorhabditis elegans is the source of this 197-nucleotide non-coding RNA. The record is from Ensembl. Lineage: Eukaryota; Metazoa; Nematoda; Chromadorea; Rhabditida; Rhabditidae.
UGUGUCUGCGUCUCGUUGACCUAUGUGUUCUCUCGGCUUUGGGGAUCGUUCUCUUAUAGUAUUUACCUGAAAGUCAAGGAGGUUGCUGACAAAAAUGAAAAGUUAUCAAAAAAAUUGGAAACUUUUUUUUAGACAAACGAUAAAUGUGUCUAGGGGUUCGAUAGAGUUCUACUGAUAAAAAUGUUUAACAACCCAUU